GGGUUGUGAGGUUAAGCGACUAAGCGUACACGGUGGAUGCCCUGGCAGUCAGAGGCGAUGAAGGGCGUGCUAAUCUGCGAUAAGCGCCGGUAAGGUGAUAUGAACCGUUAUAACCGGCGAUACCCGAAUGGGGAAACCCAGUGUGACUCGUCACACUAUCAUUAACUGAAUCCAUAGGUUAAUGAGGCGAACCGGGGGAACUGAAACAUCUAAGUACCCCGAGGAAAAGAAAUCAACCGAGAUUCCCCCAGUAGCGGCGAGCGAACGGGGAGGAGCCCAGAGCCUGAAUCAGCAUGUGUGUUAGUGGAAGCGUCUGGAAAGGCGCGCGAUACAGGGUGACAGCCCCGUACACAAAAGCGCAUGUGCUGUGAGCUCGAUGAGUAGGGCGGGACACGUGGUAUCCUGUCUGAAUAUGGGGGGACCAUCCUCCAAGGCUAAAUACUCCUGACUGACCGAUAGUGAACCAGUACCGUGAGGGAAAGGCGAAAAGAACCCCGGCGAGGGGAGUGAAAAAGAACCUGAAACCGUGUACGUACAAGCAGUGGGAGCACAGGUUUACCUGUGUGACUGCGUACCUUUUGUAUAAUGGGUCAGCGACUUAUAUUCUGUAGCAAGGUUAACCGUAUAGGGGAGCCGUAGGGAAACCGAGUCUUAACCGGGCGUUAAGUUGCAGGGUAUAGACCCGAAACCCGGUGAUCUAGCCAUGGGCAGGUUGAAGGUUGGGUAACACUAACUGGAGGACCGAACCGACUAAUGUUGAAAAAUUAGCGGAUGACCUGUGGCUGGGGGUGAAAGGCCAAUCAAACCGGGAGAUAGCUGGUUCUCCCCGAAAGCUAUUUAGGUAGCGCCUCGUGAAUUCAUCUCCGGGGGUAGAGCACUGUUUCGGCUAGGGGGCCAUCCCGGCUUACCAACCCGAUGCAAACUGCGAAUACCGGAGAAUGUUAUCACGGGAGACACACGGCGGGUGCUAACGUCCGUCGUGAAGAGGGAAACAACCCAGACCGCCAGCUAAGGUCCCAAAGUCAUGGUUAAGUGGGAAACGAUGUGGGAAGGCCCAGACAGCCAGGAUGUUGGCUUAGAAGCAGCCAUCAUUUAAAGAAAGCGUAAUAGCUCACUGGUCGAGUCGGCCUGCGCGGAAGAUGUAACGGGGCUAAACCAUGCACCGAAGCUGCGGCAGCGACGCUGAUGCGUUGUUGGGUAGGGGAGCGUUCUGUAAGCCUGUGAAGGUGGCCUGUGAGGGUUGCUGGAGGUAUCAGAAGUGCGAAUGCUGACAUAAGUAACGAUAAAGCGGGUGAAAAGCCCGCUCGCCGGAAGACCAAGGGUUCCUGUCCAACGUUAAUCGGGGCAGGGUGAGUCGACCCCUAAGGCGAGGCCGAAAGGCGUAGUCGAUGGGAAACGGGUUAAUAUUCCCGUACUUGGUGUUACUGCGAAGGGGGGACGGAGAAGGCUAUGUUGGCCGGGCGACGGUUGUCCCGGUUUAAGCGUGUAGGUGUGUGUUCCAGGUAAAUCCGGUUCACUUUAACACUGAGGCGUGAUGACGAGGCACUACGGUGCUGAAGCAACAAAUGCCCUGCUUCCAGGAAAAGCCUCUAAGCAUCAGGUAACAUCAAAUCGUACCCCAAACCGACACAGGUGGUCAGGUAGAGAAUACCAAGGCGCUUGAGAGAACUCGGGUGAAGGAACUAGGCAAAAUGGUGCCGUAACUUCGGGAGAAGGCACGCUGACACGUAGGU
Molecule: ribosomal RNA, 1733 nt
Filed under: Salmonella enterica subsp. enterica serovar Typhisuis
Lineage: Bacteria; Pseudomonadati; Pseudomonadota; Gammaproteobacteria; Enterobacterales; Enterobacteriaceae
Description: partial 23S ribosomal RNA
Rfam family: Bacterial large subunit ribosomal RNA
Source: RNAcentral